This 373-nucleotide long non-coding RNA is filed under the name Pan troglodytes (chimpanzee). RNAcentral's name for it is "long non-coding RNA NONPTRT001481". Lineage: Eukaryota; Metazoa; Chordata; Mammalia; Primates; Hominidae. The record is from RNAcentral.
GGUUGUAGUUCCUCCGCCGGAGCGGGACCUCCGGUGCCCCGGGCCAGGGAUGUGAGAAAGAAGGGAGCCCUCGAGUUCCUCGGGGCCUGUGGGAAGGUUUUUUUCAGGAUCCAGGCAGAACCCUACAGAGCUGGGAGUUUUUUAACUUUCCAUUCCUGGCAGUGACGCCAGGAGCUUUAAGUGAUGGAAAUAUGCGAGUCAAUCAGUGGAUGGUGAACAAAGGAACAGUAAAUGGAGUAACUUGGCUAGAAUAUGGCAGUAACUACAAGGCAUGUUCUGCUCUGGCACGAAGGAAAGGCUAUUUGAAGACAGAGCAAGAAGGUAGUUAUCUACAAGCCAGGAAGAGAGUCCUCACCAAAACACAACCAUGCUG